UUUUCAGUGUCGCAGCGAAAGCGAUAAACACACCGCCUGGGGAGUACGACCGCAAGGUUAAAACUCAAAUGAAUUGACGGGGACCCGCACAAGUAGUGGAGCAUGUGGUUUAAUUCGAAGAUACGCGCAGAACCUUACCAACACUUGACAUGUUCGUCGCGACUUUAAGAGAUUAAAGUUUUCGGUUCGGCCGGACGAAACACAGGUGCUGCAUGGCUGUCGUCAGCUCGUGUCGUGAGAUGUUGGGUUAAGUCCCGCAACGAGCGCAACCCUCACUUUUAGUUGCCAUCAUUAAGUUGGGCACUCUGAAAGAACUGCCAGUGAUAAGCUGGAGGAAGGUGGGGAUGACGUCAAGUCCUCAUGGCCCUUACGUGUUGGGCUACACACGUGCUACAAUGGUAUCUACAACAGGAAGCAAAACGGCGACGUUAAGCAAAUCCUUAAAAGAUACCUCAGUUCGGAUUGCACUCUGCAACUCGAGUGCAUGAAGCUGGAAUUACUAGUAAUCGUGGAUCAGCGUGCCACGGUGAAUGCGUUCCCGGGUCUUGUACACACCGCCCGUCACACCAUGGGAGUUGGUUCUACCUUAAGGCAAGGUUUCAAACCCUUGACCACGGUAUAGUCAGCGACUGGGGUGAAGUCGUAACAAGGUAGCCGUAGGGGAACCUGCGGCUGGAUUACCUCCUU
RNAcentral lists this ribosomal RNA (687 nucleotides) under uncultured marine alpha proteobacterium. RNAcentral's name for it is "bacterial SSU rRNA". It matches the Rfam family "Bacterial small subunit ribosomal RNA", at positions 837 to 1532 of the family's 1533-position model. Lineage: Bacteria; Pseudomonadati; Pseudomonadota; Alphaproteobacteria. The record is from RNAcentral.